This is a non-coding RNA of Streptococcus sinensis, 116 nucleotides long. The record is from Rfam. NCBI's taxonomy places the organism in Bacteria, Bacillati, Bacillota, Bacilli, Lactobacillales, Streptococcaceae.
UUAAGUGACGAUAGCCUAGGAGAUACACCUGUACCCAUGCCGAACACAGUAGUUAAGCCCUAGAACGCCGGAAGUAGUUGGGGGUUGCCCCCUGUGAGAUAUGGAAGUCGCUUAGC